Long non-coding RNA from Entelurus aequoreus (snake pipefish), 694 nucleotides. RefSeq lists it as uncharacterized. The transcript is spliced from 3 exons. Lineage: Eukaryota; Metazoa; Chordata; Actinopteri; Syngnathiformes; Syngnathidae. The record is from RefSeq and is a predicted model, not a curated record.
AUAGAGCAGGCUGGAGGGCAUGAAAUGAGAAGGACUAUACAGAAGGCCUCAGCUGUGUAUGUUCAGCAGAGGGUGAGAAGGCUUUUCGACACAAAGGAGCCUGAUCUACUAAAGCUUCCAGGUGUACACCAGUAUACCAGUUGGCCAUGGAUCAUUUCUGGCGACGCACCUGUCUGGAAGCAGCGCUAACUGUCCCAAGUCGUGACCCGGGGUGGACCACACCUCUAUGUAUCAGUGGUGACGUCUCUGCGUUGUUGGCCUGUCUACAUGGAAGAAGAUCCCCAAACGACCCUCUGCUGGCUUUCUGAUGGACUGGAUUCUCACAUCAUCAUGAAUGUUAACAAUUUAAUAAUUGUACCCACUCGGCUUACAUUGCAGCUUGUCACCCAGGAAGGGGGUCUCCACAUCUGCGGCCUCUACCCAAGCACAACCGGACACAUCAAAGCAGUGGGCUUCAAAAUCGCAGGUGUUGAAGGAUUAAGGGCCACCGCAGGACGGGGUGUUAUUGUCCAUAUCAUCUUUGAUGUGCUGUCUCUUUCACUCACUCAUGUUUGGAACCUGGAAUUGGGAUUGACAGCCUCAGAGUGACCAUCGUCAUGACAGGAAAUGUGAUGUGUCAUUGCUCUCACACAGAUUACAAGAAUCUGUGCGGGGGGGAAAAAAUCAUAAAGCCUUGUCCAGGUUAGUGACAGUC